CGCAUCUCGUAAGAAAACUAUUUAACCCAGCAAAAGCGACUAACGCUCUUUUCCUUCGUGUUCUCAUAAAAAAAGUGAUUCCCCUCGUGCGCCACUCGAUUCACCUCCAGCAUACAUCCGGUCUCCUCCCCUUCCUGCUCAGAGGAUGGUAAUCGCAAGUCAACCAUCUAAUAAGUUGCAAAAAGCCGAGCAAGGCCGACAAGGAGGUGGAGGAAGGGAGAAUAGUGAGGCGUUGAGUGGGGAUACUGUUGUGAGAAGCGAAGCUGUUUUAGCGGUAUCUCAUUCUAGCAUGGACAGAUCUCCUGAAGCAGACAGCUCAGCAAUCGGAGAUAAAGGUAACUGCAAAUACAAGCGAUGGUAUCCCGGCGACGCAUCACACGGUGGUCGACCAGCAUGGUGGAAUAAGGUGUUGUGUUGUGGUUAUGGGAUUGGCUGCUUGUUAUGUCCUUGUGGGAGCUUGACUUGUCGGCAUGAACGCAGUUAGGGGUCAGUAAAAGUUUGAAGUUCGGACAACUGUCUUACGAAUAAGACUUAAAUAGGACCGUAGUAUGUACAUCUUAA
This 561-nucleotide small RNA is filed under the name Cryptococcus neoformans H99. RNAcentral's name for it is "Cryptococcus neoformans var. grubii H99 hypothetical RNA". The record is from RNAcentral. Lineage: Eukaryota; Fungi; Basidiomycota; Tremellomycetes; Tremellales; Cryptococcaceae.